UUUCACCAUUGACAACACCCAAAGCAGUUUCUGUAUACUAUGCAAUUCAAAAGAGAGGUUCCCCACAUGGUGGAAACACACUUCCAGCAGUGAAAAUUCCUCACUGAUACUGUCGCAGUCUGCUUUGGGUACCAGUGAGACACAACACCAGAGGGGUCGAUGAAUGUAGUGCUGCCCGAGGCUCAGAUCUUGAAUAGCUAAUACUGCCUCACGAAGCUGCCUUGCUACCAUGGCAAUUGACCACGCCCAGAAGUCAUUGAUAAGGAUGUUGCAGUUGUAGCCACGGCUUGGUGAGGCCAUGGCAGGAUUGUAGCAGUUAAGCCUGGCCUGCAGCACAUGGCGAUGAGGCCUGAGUCCUAUGCCUCCAUGGCCUGCUCUCUCCCAGGUGGGCCCGGUGUGUUUGUGCAAGGAGCUACCACCAAGCGCGGGGUUGCCAUGAGUUGUGCCCUCCCCCUGCCGCCGGUCCAUAUAGCAGCCUUGGUGGCUCCAGCUCCAGGGUCUGCCUGCUGCUUCUUCACUAUAAAUAAGGUAAGAUUUUAAUAGCUAUUAAAUGAUACAAUGGGCUGGGUGGAAAUAACUAUUUGGUGAUUUGUGCCUCAUGUCAAAAACGUCAUGACCCACCGCUGGUAUGCAACUAAUGAUUGCUUCUUCCUAAGGAGUCCUAUACAGUCC
Long non-coding RNA from Dermochelys coriacea (leatherback sea turtle), 672 nucleotides. RefSeq lists it as uncharacterized. The transcript has 3 exons. The record is from RefSeq and is a predicted model, not a curated record. NCBI's taxonomy places the organism in Eukaryota, Metazoa, Chordata, Testudines, Dermochelyidae.